RNAcentral lists this long non-coding RNA (668 nucleotides) under Pan troglodytes (chimpanzee). Its description in RNAcentral is "lncRNA (ENSPTRG00000054075.1)". Lineage: Eukaryota; Metazoa; Chordata; Mammalia; Primates; Hominidae. The record is from RNAcentral.
GCAGAUCAUUGCUUCGGCUUUCAGGACCUUUGCAAACUUAGAUUAAAUAAAUUAACUUAAAUUAGCUAUCAAAUAUAGCUGUGAGUUUGAAGGGUUCAUAGCCUGGAGGAAAACAGAAGUAAAAUUCAGCAUCUGUCAAAGGUUGCCAAAGUAGUAAUAAACAUGAUAGUUAUCCGAUCCCUUUCCUAGGGCACCAGAUUUGGGCACCACCACAUGUGAUGUGGGGCGGAUUGGCCAAUAGAAGCCAAGUGAAGUCAGACGCUCAAGAUGUAACUAAAGCAUUUAUGAAUAUCAUCUGUCUAAUCUGGAGAAACACAUCUUAUAGUUGGCCACUCUCAUGGUUCUUGUUGCCUUCUGUUGUCUGGAGGAAUCUAAGGAUUUAUGGAAGUUAUGUUGGUAUAUCAGAAGCUCGUUGGUAUAUAUUUGACACUGCCUCUGGAACUCCUUGCCGAACACAAAGCUGUGCUAUUUGCCUGCCUAGAGCAUUGAUGGUAAAAUAGAGUUUUCAAUGUCUGUCACUCAAGGCCUUUCCACAUCUCACCUCAAUCCCUUUUCUCCUCUAAUUUCUGGCCUUACGUUCUCUAAGUCACCAUGUGUUUUACCUAUAAUAAACAAUUUUGCUCCUUAAAUGAUGCCUUACAUUUUUUUUCCCUGAAUUUGCAUCUUUG